RNAcentral lists this ribosomal RNA (492 nucleotides) under uncultured bacterium. Its description in RNAcentral is "partial 16S ribosomal RNA". It matches the Rfam family "Bacterial small subunit ribosomal RNA", at positions 29 to 507 of the family's 1533-position model. The record is from RNAcentral.
AGUGAACGCUGGCGGUAGGCCUAACACAUGCAAGUCGAACGGCAGCACAGUAAGAGCUUGCUCUUACGGGUGGCGAGUGGCGGACGGGUGAGGAAUACAUCGGAAUCUACUUUUUCGUGGGGGAUAACGUAGGGAAACUUACGCUAAUACCGCAUACGACCUACGGGUGAAAGCAGGGGAUCUUCGGACCUUGCGCGAUUGAAUGAGCCGAUGUCGGAUUAGCUAGUUGGCGGGGUAAAGGCCCACCAAGGCGACGAUCCGUAGCUGGUCUGAGAGGAUGAUCAGCCACACGGGAACUGAGACACGGUCAAGACUCCUACGGGAGGCAGCAGUGGGGAAUAUUGGACAAUGGGCGCAAGCAUGAUCCAGCCAUACCGAGUGGGUGAAGAAGGCCUUCGGGUUGUAAAGCCCUUUUGUUGGGAAAGAAAAGCAGCAGGUUAAUACCACGCUGUUCUGACGGUACCCAAAGAAUAAGCACCGGCUAACUUCGUG